UACGAAGGGGGCUAGCGUUGCUCGGAAUCACUGGGCGUAAAGCGCACGUAGGCGGCUUCUUAAGUCAGGGGUGAAAUCCUGGAGCUCAACUCCAGAACUGCCUUUGAUACUGAGGAGCUUGAGUCCGGGAGAGGUGAGUGGAACUGCGAGUGUAGAGGUGAAAUUCGUAGAUAUUCGCAAGAACACCAGUGGCGAAGGCGGCUUACUGGUCCGGUUCUGACGCUGAGGCGCGAAAGCGUGGGGAGCAAACAGG
This 253-nucleotide ribosomal RNA is filed under the name uncultured bacterium. RNAcentral's name for it is "partial 16S ribosomal RNA". It matches the Rfam family "Bacterial small subunit ribosomal RNA", at positions 524 to 776 of the family's 1533-position model. The record is from RNAcentral.